CAGAAGGGCAGCUCUCCGCGUUAAAAACACUUCUGCCAACUGCUCCCGGGAAGAGGGGUGACUCCUCAUGCUCUUGGGAGAUUCGAGCUUUUUUUCUGAAGCCCACAAUUGUCUACUUCCCACCUUAUAGCUGUCUUCCUCUAUCAAGUCAAUUGUACCUAGAAAAAGCUUUUUGUACCUUGUGGCUUUGUUGUAGCCACUAAUUAUUCUCUGCUGAAAAGAAGAGGAUGCUGGUGUGGCUACCAUUAUGGAGCAAAGAGGAGGCAGAAGGUUACAAGGAAGAUCAAGAGGAAUGAUCAAAGCUGGAUAAUGUUAGGAAGAAUUUGGAAGCCUGCUGAACAAAACUCCCUGUGUUUUUCCACUGCGUGGGCUUCAUCAAGGAGCAAUUCCACUACCAGUAACCCAGACUGUAUCCAGCAGCAGAGCUCUCUUGUUCAUUUAGAGCAGAUGAAAGAAUCCUUUCAUAUCCAAAGAGGAACUUAAAAUAUUGGGUACUGGGAGCAAGUGGAACGUAGAGACAAUGAAUGGUAGCUAACUAUUUCCAGUAAGUAUUUGCUAAACCAUAAGAACAAAUUGUAGUUUUGAGACAUACUGUAAACACUGGACGAGGGAAAAUUUCAGAGUUGGAUGUAAAGUUUGUGUUAUCCUUAUAGCACAUGCACUCUGAGUUAAGAGCUGCUUAAAGCGA
Molecule: non-coding RNA, 688 nt
Organism: Pseudopodoces humilis (Tibetan ground-tit)
Lineage: Eukaryota; Metazoa; Chordata; Aves; Passeriformes; Paridae
Source: RefSeq, a predicted model, not a curated record